GACGAACGCUGGCGGCGUGCCUAACACAUGCAAGUCAACUUGAGGGAAGGAGCAAUCUGACCUGAUGGUGGCGCAAGGGUGCGUAACGCGUAAGUAUCUUGCCCCAAGGUAAGGAAUAACGUCGAGAAAUCGGCGCUAAUACCUCAUAAUGCAGCGGAUCCGCAUGGAUAUGUUGUUAAAGGUUUACCGCCUUGGGAUAGGCUUGCGUCUGAUUAGCUAGUUGGUGUGGUAAUGGCACACCAAGGCUACGAUCAGUAACUGGUCUGAGAGGAUGAUCAGUCACACUGGAACUGAGACACGGUCCAGACUCCUACGGGAGGCAGCAGUGAGGAAUAUUGGGCAAUGCACGAAAGUAGUGACCCAGCAACGCCGCGUGGAGGAUGAAGGUAUUCUAUAUCGUAAACUCCUGUGAGAGCAGACGAAAGAACAGAUUAUUAAUUUAGGUAUGACUGUAUGCUCAGAGGAAG
Molecule: ribosomal RNA, 467 nt
Filed under: uncultured bacterium
Lineage: Bacteria
Description: bacterial SSU rRNA
Rfam family: Bacterial small subunit ribosomal RNA
Source: RNAcentral